This 1248-nucleotide ribosomal RNA is filed under the name metagenome. RNAcentral's name for it is "bacterial LSU rRNA". It matches the Rfam family "Bacterial large subunit ribosomal RNA", at positions 1635 to 2875 of the family's 2925-position model. The record is from RNAcentral.
UAUACGACCGUACCGCAAACCGACACUGGUGCGCGAGAUGAGUAUUCUAAGGCGCUUGAGAGAACUCAGGAGAAGGAACUCGGCAAAUUGACACCGUAACUUCGGAAGAAGGUGUGCCCUAUUAGUGUGUAGUGAACAACGAAGCAUGAAUGGGUUGCAAAAAAUCGGUGGCUGCGACUGUUUAUUAAAAACACAGCACUCUGCAAACACGAAAGUGGACGUAUAGGGUGUGACGCCUGCCCGGUGCUGGAAGAUUAAAUGAUGGGGUGCAAGCUCUUGAUUGAAGUCCCAGUAAACGGCGGCCGUAACGAUAACGGUCCUAAGGUAGCGAAAUUCCUUGUCGGGUAAGUUCCGACCUGCACGAAUGGCGUAACGAUGGCCACACUGUCUCCUCCUGAGACUCAGCGAAGUUGAAAUGUUUGUGAUGAUGCAAUCUCCCCGCGGAAAGACGGAAAGACCCCAUGAACCUUUACUGUAGCUUUGUAUUGGACUUUGAACAGAUCUGUGUAGGAUAGGUGGGAGGCUUUGAAGCAGGGUCGCUAGAUCUUGUGGAGCCAACGUUGAAAUACCACCCUGGUGUGUUUGAGGUUCUAACCUAGGUCCAUUAUCUGGAUCGGGGACAGUGCAUGGUAGGCAGUUUGACUGGGGCGGUCUCCUCCCAAAGCGUAACGGAGGAGUUCGAAGGUACGCUAGUUACGGUCGGACAUCGUGACGAUAGUGCAAUGGCAUAAGCGUGCUUAACUGCGAGACUGACAAGUCGAGCAGAUGCGAAAGCAGGACAUAGUGAUCCGGUGGUUCUGUAUGGAAGGGCCAUCGCUCAACGGAUAAAAGGUACUCUGGGGAUAACAGGCUGAUACCGCCCAAGAGUUCAUAUCGACGGCGGUGUUUGGCACCUCGAUGUCGGCUCAUCUCAUCCUGGGGCUGUAGCCGGUCCCAAGGGUAUGGCUGUUCGCCAUUUAAAGAGGUACGUGAGCUGGGUUUAAAACGUCGUGAGACAGUUUGGUCCCUAUCUUCCGUGGGCGCUGCAGAUUUGAGGAAGCCUGCUCCUAGUACGAGAGGACCGGAAUGGACACACCUCUGGUGUAUCGGUUGUCACGCCAGUGGCAUUGCCGAGUAGCUAAGUGUGGAAGAGAUAACCGCUGAAAGCAUCUAAGCGGGAAACUCGUUUCAAGAUGAGAUCUGCCGGGGCCUUGAGCCCCCUAAAGAGUCGUUCAAGACCAGGACGUUGAUAGGUCAGGUGUGGAAGCG